This 268-nucleotide ribosomal RNA is filed under the name uncultured bacterium. RNAcentral describes it as "partial 16S ribosomal RNA". It matches the Rfam family "Bacterial small subunit ribosomal RNA", at positions 524 to 791 of the family's 1533-position model. The record is from RNAcentral.
GACGAGCCUCACAAACGUUAUUCGGAAUUACUGGGCUUAAAGGGUGCGUAGGCGGCGCGGAAAGUUGGGUGUGAAAUCCCUCGGCUCAACCGAGGAACAGCGCUCAAAACUACCGUGCUCGAGGGAGAUAGAGGAAUGCGGAACUUACGGUGGAGCGGUGAAAUGCGUUGAUAUCGUAGGGAACACCGGUGGCGAAAGCGGCAUUCUGGAUCUCUUCUGACGCUGAUGCACGAAAGCUAGGGUAGCAAACGGGAUUAGAUACCCCCGU